CAGUCGCCGCGGUAAUACGUAGGUGGCAAGCGUUGUCCGGAUUUAUUGGGCGUAAAGCGAGCGCAGGCGGUUUCUUAAGUCUGAUGUGAAAGCCCCCGGCUCAACCGGGGAGGGUCAUUGGAAACUGGGAGACUUGAGUGCAGAAGAGGAGAGUGGAAUUCCAUGUGUAGCGGUGAAAUGCGUAGAUAUAUGGAGGAACACCAGUGGCGAAGGCGGCUCUCUGGUCUGUAACUGACGCUGAGGCUCGAAAGCGUGGGGAGCGAACAGGAUUAGAUACCCCAGUAGUCCCUGUCUCUUAUAC
Molecule: ribosomal RNA, 301 nt
Filed under: uncultured bacterium
Lineage: Bacteria
Description: partial 16S ribosomal RNA
Rfam family: Bacterial small subunit ribosomal RNA
Source: RNAcentral